Molecule: ribosomal RNA, 425 nt
Filed under: uncultured bacterium
Lineage: Bacteria
Description: partial 16S ribosomal RNA
Rfam family: Bacterial small subunit ribosomal RNA
Source: RNAcentral
GUGGGGAAUAUUGGACAAUGGGCGCAAGCCUGAUCCAGCAAUGCCGCGUGGGUGAAGAAGGUCUUCGGAUCGUAAAGCCCUUUCGACAGGGACGAUGAUGACGGUACCUGUAGAAGAAGCCCCGGCUAACUUCGUGCCAGCAGCCGCGGUAAUACGAAGGGGGCUAGCGUUACUCGGAAUUACUGGGCGUAAAGGGCGCGUAGGCGGCUCUGUUAGUCAGGCGUGAAAUUCCUGGGCUUAACCUGGGGACUGCGCUUGAUACUGCAGGGCUUGAGGCCGAGAGAGGGUGGUGGAAUUCCCAGUGUAGAGGUGAAAUGCGUAGAUAUUAGGAGGAACACCAGUGGCGAAGGCGACUUUCUGGACUGUAACUGACGCUGAGGCUCGAAAGCCAGGGGAGCGAACGGGAUUAGAAACCCUGGUAGUCC